UUUCCUGCAACUACAUCUCCAUGUAAUUUAAACAUACAACAAUAAAAACAUUUCCUUGAUACAAGGGUUGAUGUUGAAAUUACAUGGAGAUGUAGUUGCAGGAAAUAAUAGCCGCCAACACUUAUUUAUACAUACAAAAGCUAACACACAUAAGUUGAUACACACACAUAUAUCAUAAGACCACAAAUACCAUUUUCUUAUUGUUAAUUUCUAGAUCUCAUAGAUCAUGCAAUAGCUGGUUUAACCUGAACAGAUGAGAAACAAAGAACAACAAUUUUCUCAAUAGCAGCUGAAAAUGAAGCAGAAAACUCGACAUGAUUAGGA
Molecule: unclassified non-coding RNA, 324 nt
Filed under: Hevea brasiliensis (rubber tree)
Lineage: Eukaryota; Viridiplantae; Streptophyta; Magnoliopsida; Malpighiales; Euphorbiaceae
Source: RNAcentral